CGAGUCUGAAUAGGGCGUUUAGUCGCAUGCUGUAGACCCGAAGCCGAGUGAUCUAUCCAUGGGCAGGUUGAAGCGGGGGUAAGACCCCGUGGAGGACCGAACCCACUAAAGUUAAAAAUUUAGGGGAUGACCUGUGGAUAGGGGUGAAAGGCCAAACAAACUCGGUGAUAGCUGGUUCUCUCCGAAAUGCAUUUAGGUGCAGCGUCGUGUGUUCAGUGAUGGAGGUAGAGCACUGGAUGGGCUAGGGGGCCUACAAGCUUACCGAACCCAGCCAAACUCCGAAUGCCAUCACUCCAGAGCACGGCAGUGAGACCACGGGGGAUGAGCUUCGUUGGUCGAAAGGGAAACAGCCCAGAUCGCCGGCUAAGGCCCCAAAUUCCAGACUAAGUGGAAAACGAUGUGGGACUGCACAGACAGCCAGGAGGUUGGCUUAGAAGCAGCCAUCCUUAAAAAG
RNAcentral lists this ribosomal RNA (454 nucleotides) under uncultured bacterium. Its description in RNAcentral is "bacterial LSU rRNA". It matches the Rfam family "Bacterial large subunit ribosomal RNA", at positions 678 to 1129 of the family's 2925-position model. The record is from RNAcentral.